GGAUGUGAUCAUACCAGCACUAAAGCACCGGAUCCCAUCGGAACUCCGAAGUUAAGCGUGCUUGGGCGAGAGUAGUACUAGCAUGGGUGACCUCCUGGGAAGUCCUCGUGUUGCAUUCC
This 119-nucleotide ribosomal RNA is filed under the name Triticum dicoccoides. The record is from RNAcentral. Lineage: Eukaryota; Viridiplantae; Streptophyta; Magnoliopsida; Poales; Poaceae.